AACUCACAGUCUGACCAGAGGAUGGUUGCGUUGAUGAGGUCUGUAUGGGCCACCCUUUCAUGUAUGACUGCUGUGCUGUGUAGCACUUAAGCUCUGCAAUGUUGAUUCUUCAGGCUUUGUAUUUUCCUUUCAGCUUGUAUUAAGCAUAUGUUGCUUCUCUGUACACAGGCAUCUCAAAGAAUUUCUCAGCUGCCUUUCUGUCAUCCCUGAGUCCAAAUUACAACUGUCAAUUAUACAUGAAAGACACA
Molecule: long non-coding RNA, 248 nt
Filed under: Anser brachyrhynchus (Pink-footed goose)
Lineage: Eukaryota; Metazoa; Chordata; Aves; Anseriformes; Anatidae
Description: lncRNA (ENSABRG00000004913.1)
Source: RNAcentral